Long non-coding RNA from Argentina anserina (silverweed cinquefoil), 578 nucleotides. RefSeq lists it as uncharacterized. The transcript has 4 exons. The record is from RefSeq and is a predicted model, not a curated record. Lineage: Eukaryota; Viridiplantae; Streptophyta; Magnoliopsida; Rosales; Rosaceae.
CAUGGGUGAAGAAGUGGAAAAAGAAAAACCAAAAUGGUGAUCUGGGUUGUUUUGAUUAUAUGAAAGUCUGAUAUCCAGUACUGGCGCCUUCGCCGAGUGUUCAGGGUGUGAUUGAAGUCUCGAUCUCGCGAUCGAGCUACGGGGAUGACAAAUCUAUGUCGUACAUUUCAUCUGAUAGAUUCACAUCACUAUACAUGAGGGCUUCCACAAGCGAAAGGAAACAGAAAUUGUGGACAUACAGAUUAUGAGGCUCAAUUAAGCACGGUUCUUUGGUGGGUGGAAGUGAUGUAGCUUCAUCAGCCUCGAGCAUAUGAAUCACUGAUGACAUCGUUGGUCGAUCAGCUGGAGCUUCUUGAACACACAAAAGCCCGACAUGGAUGCAUCUUAAAGCUUCAUGAAUCUGGCAUGUAUCCCUUAAAGAUGAGUCAGAAUAGAGUGAUCCGGGAGUUUCACGUUUCCAAACUUUACAUAGUUACCUCGUGUGUUGUUAGUACAAGUCCACAUAUUCUCCCUAACGCAGCCACCGGACCAAUUCCCCACCGCCCAUUGGUCUGGAAACUUGGCCGUAAAACCAGUCA